GAUGAAGAACGUAGUGAAAUGCGAUACGUAAUGUGAAUUGCAGAAUUCAGUGAAUCAUCGAAUCUUUGAACGCAUAUUGCGCUCUCUGGUAUUCCGGAGAGCAUGCUUGUUUGAGUAUCAGUAAACACCUCAACUUCCAUAUCUUUUUUGAAAUGGGAGUUGGACUUGAGUGAUCCCAACGCUUUUCCUCACCGAAAAGUGGCGGGUUACUUGAAAUGCAGGUGCAGCUGGACUUUUCUCUGAGCUAUAAGCAUAUCUAUUUAGUCUGCCUAAAAAACAGAUUAUUACCUUUGCUGCAGCUAACAUAAAGGAGAUUAGUUCUUGUGCUGACUGCUGCAGGAUUCACAAAGACGGCUUCGGCCGACUUUGUAAACUCGAUCUCAAAUCAAGUAAGACUACCCGCUGAACUUAAGCAUAUCAAUAAGCGGAGGA
RNAcentral lists this unclassified non-coding RNA (432 nucleotides) under soil metagenome. Its description in RNAcentral is "partial contains 5.8S ribosomal RNA, internal transcribed spacer 2, and large subunit ribosomal RNA". The stretch from base 1 to 120 matches the Rfam family "5.8S ribosomal RNA", at positions 35 to 154 of the family's 154-position model. The record is from RNAcentral.